CUUCCUAAAAACCAAACAUCACAAUGCAGCUUUAUUCGUCCGGCUACGUUUCACCAGCAGGCAUUCAUUCCACACACCUGUUAUUAAAGUCCAGCUUCCCCCAGCACAGAACAGCACCAAGGCCAGGAACUUAGAACUCAUCUGAUCUGCCCUGUUGAGCCGUUGUCCCCAAGGUCUCCUAUUUUGUUGAAUUCGGCCUCUUGAUGACAAUGGUGAGAGGACCCUGAGAAGUACCUGCAGUUAGCUUAAGCCAGAGUCACUUCUUUAAGGACAGGUUUUGACUUGGGGAUAGUGGGGACAGGCUCAGGCAUUGUAAUGGCGCGGGGCCUUGGGACAGUCAGGUUGAAUUCCUUGGGCACUGU
This 362-nucleotide long non-coding RNA is filed under the name Rattus norvegicus (Norway rat). Its description in RNAcentral is "long non-coding RNA NONRATT009475". Lineage: Eukaryota; Metazoa; Chordata; Mammalia; Rodentia; Muridae. The record is from RNAcentral.